Paramuricea clavata is the source of this 426-nucleotide non-coding RNA. The record is from the annotation of a GenBank genome assembly. NCBI's taxonomy places the organism in Eukaryota, Metazoa, Cnidaria, Anthozoa, Malacalcyonacea, Plexauridae.
UGACGUAUUAAUCUGUGUUGCGAACUGAAUCGGACAGCGGUAGUGGUGAUUGCUAGAAAGUAUACUUCAAAAUAAGGUUUCCGUUUUUAUAACGUAGAAAAAACCAUUCUAACGCAAAACUAUAAACCCUAAUACUAACCUUAGCCCUAAUACUAACCCUAACCUAACCCCAACCCUAACCUAACCCUAACUUAUUUUAAAAAUUAAUAUAAAAACGGAAACCUUAUUUUGAAGUAUACUAUCUGGCAAUUGUCCAGCGGGUAGUACUAGUUAAAACUAGAACCAGGUUUCUGCGCGGGAUAACGUAUUCGGAACGUUUUAUCGACUUUAUAUGGACAUUUAUUGUUGUUGGGGUUUAUCUAAUGUAUCGUUGGUUUAUAGAGCACACAGAAUUGUAAGUAGUGUUUAUUGGUGCUUGAAACGAUG